Molecule: ribosomal RNA, 493 nt
Filed under: Staphylococcus aureus
Lineage: Bacteria; Bacillati; Bacillota; Bacilli; Caryophanales; Staphylococcaceae
Description: bacterial SSU rRNA
Rfam family: Bacterial small subunit ribosomal RNA
Source: RNAcentral
UUUAUGGAGAGUUUGAUCCUGGCUCAGGAUGAACGCUGGCGGCGUGCCUAAUACAUGCAAGUCGAGCGAACGGACGAGAAGCUUGCUUCUCUGAUGUUAGCGGCGGACGGGUGAGUAACACGUGGAUAACCUACCUAUAAGACUGGGAUAACUUCGGGAAACCGGAGCUAAUACCGGAUAAUAUUUUGAACCGCAUGAUUCAAAAGUGAAAGACGGUCUUGCUGUCACUUAUAGAUGGAUCCGCGCUGCAUUAGCUAGUUGGUAAGGUAACGGCUUACCAAGGCAACGAUGCAUAGCCGACCUGAGAGGGUGAUCGGCCACACUGGAACUGAGACACGGUCCAGACUCCUACGGGAGGCAGCAGUAGGGAAUCUUCCGCAAUGGGCGAAAGCCUGACGGAGCAACGCCGCGUGAGUGAUGAAGGUCUUCGGAUCGUAAAACUCUGUUAUUAGGGAAGAACAUAUGUGUAAGUAACUGUGCACAUCUUGACGGU